AUGGAUGUGUCAAAAAUGAGGAAUGUUGCUUGUUAUAUGAGCCACAGUUCAACUCCAAAUGUGCUUGUGCAGUUUGUGUUAUAUGAUCACAAUAAUUUGAUGUUUCCUCAUCUCAUGCUUUUUGCAAUGGAAAAUAUUCCUCCUUUGAGGGAACUUAGCCUUGAUUAUGGUGUGGCUGAUGAGUGGACUGGGAAGCUUUCUAUUUGCAACUGAAUAGGCUAGAAAAGUUUUUGGAACUUUUGUAUGUGGUGUAGCACAUCAUCGGAAGACAUAAUGUUGUGGUAAAUGUUCAAUGGUUUUGCCAUAGUUUUCUGACCCACUAUCCUGAAGUGUCUGGUCUUUGUCAUUUUACCCUGAUAACUGAUGCUGCAAAUCUCAAUAUUAUAUCAGAAUAUUUUUCUUCCUUUGAUCUCGAAGUGCUCAAGGCUCCCAGGUGGUUCAGAAUAUAUUUUUUUUCCCUAGUUGGGGGACAGGCAGGGGUCAAAAACCUGGAAAUGAAAAUCUUAACGGCUAAUAUUUGGAUGUUGCUGUUGUGAUAUCACUAACACUGUAGACAUUGUAAUACUUUAAAAGUUUCACCGGAUCUCUUGGAAGCCUUGCACCCUCUAAUCCCAUGGGGGUAGUUGCCAUAAGGCUUUUGUAAGCUUGUAUGCAUGACUGUAUGAGCUUUUUGUA
This 675-nucleotide unclassified non-coding RNA is filed under the name Hevea brasiliensis (rubber tree). Lineage: Eukaryota; Viridiplantae; Streptophyta; Magnoliopsida; Malpighiales; Euphorbiaceae. The record is from RNAcentral.